GAUGAACGCUGGCGGCGUGCCUAAUACAUGCAAGUCGAGCGAACAGACGAGGAGCUUGCUCCUCUGACGUUAGCGGCGGACGGGUGAGUAACACGUGGAUAACCUACCUAUAAGACUGGGAUAACUUCGGGAAACCGGAGCUAAUACCGGAUAAUAUAUUGAACCGCAUGGUUCAAUAGUGAAAGACGGUUUUGCUGUCACUUAUAGAUGGAUCCGCGCCGCAUUAGCUAGUUGGUAAGGUAACGGCUUACCAAGGCAACGAUGCGUAACCGACCUGAGAGGGUGAUCGGCCACACUGGAACAGAGACACGGUCCAGACUCCUACGGGAGGCAGAAGUAGGGAAUCUUCCGCAAUGGGCGAAAGCCUGACGGAGCAACGCCGCGUGAGUGAUGAAGGUCUUCGGAUCGUAAAACUCUGUUAUUAGGGAAGAACAAAUGUGUAAGUAACUAUGCACGUCUUGACGGUACCUAAUCAGAAAGCCACGGCUAACUACGCG
RNAcentral lists this ribosomal RNA (497 nucleotides) under uncultured bacterium. RNAcentral's name for it is "partial 16S ribosomal RNA". It matches the Rfam family "Bacterial small subunit ribosomal RNA", at positions 28 to 507 of the family's 1533-position model. The record is from RNAcentral.